AAAAAGGGCUUCUGUCGUGAGUGGCACACGUAGGGCAGCUCGUUUGCUCUACGUGCGGAAUCGACAUCAAGAGAUUUCGGAAGCAUAAUUUUUGCUAAUGGGGCAGCUGGUGAUCGUUGGUCCUGGCGCCCCC
Molecule: small nuclear RNA, 133 nt
Organism: Cervus hanglu yarkandensis (Yarkand deer)
Lineage: Eukaryota; Metazoa; Chordata; Mammalia; Artiodactyla; Cervidae
Source: Ensembl